This 466-nucleotide ribosomal RNA is filed under the name uncultured bacterium. RNAcentral describes it as "partial 16S ribosomal RNA". It matches the Rfam family "Bacterial small subunit ribosomal RNA", at positions 28 to 507 of the family's 1533-position model. The record is from RNAcentral.
GAUGAACGCUGGCGGCGUGCUUAACACAUGCAAGUCGAACGGAAAGGCCCAAGCUUGCUUGGGUACUCGAGUGGCGAACGGGUGAGUAACACGUGGGUGAUCUGCCCUGCACUUCGGGAUAAGCCUGGGAAACUGGGUCUAAUACCGGAUAGGACCACAUUUUGGAUGGUGUGGUGGAAAGUUUUUCGGUGUGGGAUGAGCUCGCGGCCUAUCAGCUUGUUGGUGGGGUAAUGGCCUACCAAGGCGUCGACGGGUAGCCGGCCUGAGAGGGUGUACGGCCACAUUGGGACUGAGAUACGGCCCAGACUCCUACGGGAGGCAGCAGUGGGGAAUAUUGCACAAUGGGCGCAAGCCUGAUGCAGCGACGCCGCGUGGGGGAGGACGGACUUCGGGUUGUAAACUCCUUUCGCUAGGGACGAAGCGUUAUGUGACGGUACCUGGAGAAGAAGCACCGGCUAACUACGUG